AGAGUUUGAUCCUGGCUCAAAACGAACGCUGGCGGCGUGGAUAAGACAUGCAAGUCGAACGGGAUAACAUCUGUAGCAAUACAGGUGUUAUUUAGUGGCGAACGGGUGCGUAACACGUGGGCAAUCUGCCGAGAAGUGGGGGAUAGCUCGCCGAAAGGCGAAUUAAUACCGCAUAUGAUCAGUGAAGACAUCUUCACGACAUCAAAGCCGGGGCAACCUGGCGCUUCUUGAUGAGCCCGCGGCCUAUCAGCUAGUUGGUGAGGUAACGGCUCACCAAGGCUAUGACGGGUAGCUGGUCUGAGAGGACGACCAGUCACACUGGAACUGAGACACGGUCCAGACACCUACGGGUGGCAGCAGUCGAGAAUUUUUCUCAAUGGAGGAAACCCUGAAGGAGCGACGCCGCGUGGAGGAUGAAGGCUUUCGGGUUGUAAACUCCUGUCAUUUGAGAACAAGUUAGUGCGGUUAACUGCCGCAUUAUUGAUAGUACCAGAAGAGGAAGAGACGGCUAACUCUGUGCCAGCAGCCGCGGUAAUACAGAGGUCUCAAGCGUUGUUCGGAUUCAUUGGGCGUAGAGGGUGCGUAGGUGGCGCCGUAAGUCAGGUGUGAAAUUUCGGAGCUUAACUCCGAAACUGCAUUUGAUACUGCGGUGCUUGAGGACUGAAGAGGAGACUGGUAUUUCACGGUGUAGCAGUGAAAUGCAUAUAUAUCGAGAAGAACGACCAGUGACGAAGGCGGCUC
Molecule: ribosomal RNA, 741 nt
Filed under: uncultured bacterium
Lineage: Bacteria
Description: bacterial SSU rRNA
Rfam family: Bacterial small subunit ribosomal RNA
Source: RNAcentral